This 468-nucleotide ribosomal RNA is filed under the name uncultured bacterium. Its description in RNAcentral is "partial 16S ribosomal RNA". It matches the Rfam family "Bacterial small subunit ribosomal RNA", at positions 28 to 507 of the family's 1533-position model. The record is from RNAcentral.
GACGAACGCUGGCGGCGUGCUUAACACAUGCAAGUCGAACGGAAAGGCCCUGCUUUUGUGGGGUGCUCGAGUGGCGAACGGGUGAGUAACCAGUGAGUAACCUGCCCUUGACUUUGGGAUAACUUCAGGAAACUGGGGCUAAUACCGGAUAGGAGCUCCUGCUGCAUGGUGGGGGUUGGAAAGUUUCGGCGGUUGGGGAUGGACUCGCGGCUUAUCAGCUUGUUGGUGGGGUAGUGGCUUACCAAGGCUUUGACGGGUAGCCGGCCUGAGAGGGUGACCGGCCACAUUGGGACUGAGGUACGGCCCAGACGCCUACGGGAGGGAGCAGUGGGGAAUAUUGCACAAUGGGCGGAAGCCUGAUGCAGCAACGCCGCGUGCGGGAUGACGGCCUUCGGGUUGUAAACCGCGUUCGCCUGUUACGAAGCGGGAGUGACGGUAAUGGGUAAAGAAGCACCGGCUAACUACGUG